AGUGAACGCUGGCGGUAGGCCUAACACAUGCAAGUCGAACGGCAGCACAGAGGAGCUUGCUCCUUGGGUGGCGAGUGGCGGACGGGUGAGGAAUACAUCGGAAUCUACUCUGUCGUGGGGGAUAGCGUAGGGAAACUUACGCUAAUACCGCAUACGACCUACGGGUGAAAGCAGGGGACCUUCGGGCCUUGCGCGAUUGAAUGAGCCGAUGUCGGAUUAGCUAGUUGGCGGGGUAAAGGCCCACCAAGGCGACGAUCCGUAGCUGGUCUGAGAGGAUGAUCAGCCGCACUGGAACUGAGACACGGUCCAGACUCCUACGGGAGGCAGCAGUGGGGAAUAUUGGACAAUGGGCGCAAGCCUGAUCCAGCCAUACCGCGUGGGUGAAGAAGGCCUUCGGGUUGUAAAGCCCUUUUGUUGGGAAAGAAAUCCAGCUGGCUAAUACCCGGUUGGGAUGACGGUACCCAAAGAAUAAGCACCGGCUAACUUCGUGCCAGCAGCCGCAGUAA
RNAcentral lists this ribosomal RNA (506 nucleotides) under uncultured bacterium. Its description in RNAcentral is "partial 16S ribosomal RNA". It matches the Rfam family "Bacterial small subunit ribosomal RNA", at positions 29 to 523 of the family's 1533-position model. The record is from RNAcentral.